GACGAACGCUGGCGGCGUGCUUAACACAUGCAAGUCGAACGACGUGGCGAACGGGUGAGUCACGCGUAAUCAACCUGCCCUUCAGAGGGGGACAACAGUUGGAAACGACUGCUAAUACCGCAUACUGACGGUGGGGUUUGCGGCUGCUUAGCUAGUUGGAGGGGUAACGGCCCAUCAAGGCGAUGCUCAGUAGCCGGUCUUAGAGGAUGAACGGCCACAUUGGGACUGGGACACGGCCCAUACUCCUACGGGAGGCAGCAGUGGGGAAACUUCCGCAAUGGACGAAAGGCUGACGGAGCAACGCCGGGGGAGUGAUGACGGCCUUCGGGGUGUAAAGCUCUGUUAAUCGGGACGCGGUACCGGAAUAGAAAGCCACGGCUAACUACGUGCCAGCAGCCGCGGUAAUAC
RNAcentral lists this ribosomal RNA (408 nucleotides) under uncultured bacterium. RNAcentral's name for it is "partial 16S ribosomal RNA". It matches the Rfam family "Bacterial small subunit ribosomal RNA", at positions 28 to 526 of the family's 1533-position model. The record is from RNAcentral.